RNAcentral lists this ribosomal RNA (999 nucleotides) under Triticum aestivum (bread wheat). Its description in RNAcentral is "partial small subunit ribosomal RNA". The record is from RNAcentral. Lineage: Eukaryota; Viridiplantae; Streptophyta; Magnoliopsida; Poales; Poaceae.
AUGCACAAGCUCAAGCUGUUCACUCCAAAAACUUCCACCCAAGCAGCAGCAUCGAUCGCAGUUCAACGUUGGAUCUCAUCGGCGUUGACGCCGGUGGCCGGCUGGCCUGACCGCCCCGGCAAACGCGGCGGCGCCGCGCCGAACGACGCGGACCUGCCUACCGCGACGCCGGCCAUCUCCAAUGCUUCGCACGAUUUCAGCGCUCUACUGAUCUUCGCUAGGCCCAUCAUCUCCCCCUCGCGCGCACUGUUCGACGCCAGCGGUCGUAGGGAGACGUCCGGCCACGGCAGCCUCGGGAGCGCCAUCAUGGACGCGGUGCGCCUCACAGCCAUCUCCGUCGACAGGACGCCGUCGCCCCCGGCCUCCUCGGCGCCAGCACCAGCGGCCGCGGCUAGGUUUGCCGCGGGCUCGCUCACGUUGCUACCGGGUGCGGCGGUCUGGUGCGCGCCGGCGGCGACCCUGACAGGAGCGCGGCAGAGCGGGCAGUUGACAUGGGCGCGGAGCCAGGUGUCGAUGCAGCCGCGGUGGAACGCGUGGGCGCAGCGCGGCAGCAGGCGCAGCGUCUCGCCGCCGCGGAACUCCGCGAGGCACACCGCGCAGCCGUCGCCGCCGAGUCCCAGGGCGCGGCACUUGUCGGGGUCGUACACCAGCGCGGUGAUGGCCGCGAUGGCGCGCUCGUCGAGCCCCACGGUGCGUAUGUACCACACGUGGUGCACCCCGUCGUCGGAGUCGCUGUCCGCCGGCACCGGGACCGCCACGUCGGCCGGAGGCCCCCCCUCGGCGGCCUGGUGGUGCAGCGGCAGCGGCAGCGGCGCAGCGUUGGCGCGCUGGCGCCGGCGCCGGCGCACGACGUGGCAGACGAGCAGGACGAGGAGGAGCACCACGGACACGGCGAGGACGGACGCUGAUACAGCGACGAGCGGGGUGGGGAGGCGGGAGGAGGGCCGGAGGUGCACGGUGGCGGUGCGCGAGGGCGGCGGCGGCCGGCAGAGGCCGUAG